ACUUGAGGAGGAAGCCCCGGCUAACUACGUGCCAGCAGCCGCGGUAAUACGUAGGGGGCUAGCGUUAUCCGGAUUUACUGGGCGUAAAGGGUGCGUAGGCGGUCUUUCAAGUCAGGAGUGAAAGGCUACGGCUCAACCGUAGUAAGCUCUUGAAACUGGGAGACUUGAGUGCAGGAGAGGAGAGUGGAAUUCCUAGUGUAGCGGUGAAAUGCGUAGAUAUUAGGAGGAACCCCAGUUGCGAAGGCGGCUCUCUGGACUGUAACUGACGCUGAGGCACGAAAGCGUGGGGAGCAAACAGGA
Molecule: ribosomal RNA, 300 nt
Filed under: Clostridioides difficile
Lineage: Bacteria; Bacillati; Bacillota; Clostridia; Peptostreptococcales; Peptostreptococcaceae
Description: bacterial SSU rRNA
Rfam family: Bacterial small subunit ribosomal RNA
Source: RNAcentral